This 408-nucleotide unclassified non-coding RNA is filed under the name soil metagenome. RNAcentral's name for it is "partial contains 5.8S ribosomal RNA, internal transcribed spacer 2, and large subunit ribosomal RNA". The stretch from base 1 to 120 matches the Rfam family "5.8S ribosomal RNA", at positions 35 to 154 of the family's 154-position model. The record is from RNAcentral.
GAUGAAGAACGUAGCGAAAUGCGAUAAGUAAUGUGAAUUGCAGAAUUCAGUGAAUCAUCGAAUCUUUGAACGCACCUUGCGCUCCUUGGCAUUCCUAGGAGCAUGCCUGUUUGAGUGUCAUUAAAUUCUCAAGACCUGUCUGCUUUUUUGAUAGGUAUUGGUUUUUGGGGGUUGCAGGCUGUUUCAAAUAAAUAGCCUUGCUCUCCUUGAAUGUAUUAGUGGAGAAAAGCCAUUGAACUCCAUUGGUGUGAUAAAACCUAUCAAUGCCAGGAGCAAUAUCACUACUUCUCUCUGCUGUCUAACUGUGACUGUCUGUAUUAAUUAGUAUGGAUGGGGACAACUUGACCAACUUGACCUCAAAUCAGGUAGGACUACCCGCUGAACUUAAGCAUAUCAAUAAGCGGAGGA